This 1867-nucleotide ribosomal RNA is filed under the name Staphylococcus sp. HMSC063F10. Its description in RNAcentral is "bacterial LSU rRNA". It matches the Rfam family "Bacterial large subunit ribosomal RNA", at positions 834 to 2702 of the family's 2925-position model. Lineage: Bacteria; Bacillati; Bacillota; Bacilli; Caryophanales; Staphylococcaceae. The record is from RNAcentral.
CGAACUUGGAGAUAGCUGGUUCUCUCCGAAAUAGCUUUAGGGCUAGCCUCAAGUGAUGAUUAUUGGAGGUAGAGCACUGUUUGGACGAGGGGCCCCUCUCGGGUUACCGAAUUCAGACAAACUCCGAAUGCCAAUUAAUUUAACUUGGGAGUCAGAACAUGGGUGAUAAGGUCCGUGUUCGAAAGGGAAACAGCCCAGACCACCAGCUAAGGUCCCAAAAUAUAUGUUAAGUGGAAAAGGAUGUGGCGUUGCCCAGACAACUAGGAUGUUGGCUUAGAAGCAGCCAUCAUUUAAAGAGUGCGUAAUAGCUCACUAGUCGAGUGACACUGCGCCGAAAAUGUACCGGGGCUAAACAUAUUACCGAAGCUGUGGAUUGUCCUUUGGACAAUGGUAGGAGAGCGUUCUAAGGGCGUUGAAGCAUGAUCGCAAGGACAUGUGGAGCGCUUAGAAGUGAGAAUGCCGGUGUGAGUAGCGAAAGACGGGUGAGAAUCCCGUCCACCGAUUGACUAAGGUUUCCAGAGGAAGGCUCGUCCGCUCUGGGUUAGUCGGGUCCUAAGCUGAGGCCGACAGGCGUAGGCGAUGGAUAACAGGUUGAUAUUCCUGUACCACCUAGUAUCGUUUUAAUCGAUGGGGGGACGCAGUAGGAUAGGCGAAGCGUACGAUUGGAUUGUACGUCUAAGCAGUGAGACUGAGUGUUAGGUAAAUCCGGCACUCAUAAGGUCAAGCUGUGAUGGGGAGAGGAAAUUGUUUCCUUGAGUCGUUGAUUUCACACUGCCAAGAAAAGCCUCUAGAUAGAUAACAGGUGCCCGUACCGCAAACCGACACAGGUAGUCAAGAUGAGAAUUCUAAGGUGAGCGAGCGAACUCUCGUUAAGGAACUCGGCAAAAUGACCCCGUAACUUCGGGAGAAGGGGUGCUCUUUAGGGUGCAAGCCCAGAAGAGCCGCAGUGAAUAGGCCCAAGCGACUGUUUAUCAAAAACACAGGUCUCUGCUAAACCGUAAGGUGAUGUAUAGGGGCUGACGCCUGCCCGGUGCUGGAAGGUUAAGAGGAGUGGUUAGCUUCUGCGAAGCUACGAAUCGAAGCCCCAGUAAACGGCGGCCGUAACUAUAACGGUCCUAAGGUAGCGAAAUUCCUUGUCGGGUAAGUUCCGACCCGCACGAAAGGCGUAACGAUUUGGGCACUGUCUCAACGAGAGACUCGGUGAAAUCAUAGUACCUGUGAAGAUGCAGGUUACCCGCGACAGGACGGAAAGACCCCGUGGAGCUUUACUGUAGCCUGAUAUUGAAAUUCGGCACAGCUUGUACAGGAUAGGUAGGAGCCAUUGAAACGUGAGCGCUAGCUUACGUGGAGGCGCUGGUGGGAUACUACCCUAGCUGUGUUGGCUUUCUAACCCGCACCACUUAUCGUGGUGGGAGACAGUGUCAGGCGGGCAGUUUGACUGGGGCGGUCGCCUCCUAAAAGGUAACGGAGGCGCUCAAAGGUUCCCUCAGAAUGGUUGGAAAUCAUUCAUAGAGUGUAAAGGCAUAAGGGAGCUUGACUGCGAGACCUACAAGUCGAGCAGGGUCGAAAGACGGACUUAGUGAUCCGGUGGUUCCGCAUGGAAGGGCCAUCGCUCAACGGAUAAAAGCUACCCCGGGGAUAACAGGCUUAUCUCCCCCAAGAGUUCACAUCGACGGGGAGGUUUGGCACCUCGAUGUCGGCUCAUCGCAUCCUGGGGCUGUAGUCGGUCCCAAGGGUUGGGCUGUUCGCCCAUUAAAGCGGUACGCGAGCUGGGUUCAGAACGUCGUGAGACAGUUCGGUCCCUAUCCGUCGUGGGCGUAGGAAAUUUGAGAGGAGCUGUCCUUAGUACGAGAGGACCGGGAUGGAC